GAUGGAGGCGUCUUGAGUGGAAAUAUGGGUCGUCUCCUGCCCUCAGAGGGUCUCUCUCUCUCUUUCUCGCUCCUCUGCGCCCACCCAUCCCCUUUGCCUUCCUUCCUGCACCCCUUCCCUGUAACCCACCUCCUUGCUUCUCCCUGACAGUUGCUGCUCCCAGAGCCACGAACCCUUCUCCUUCCUCCAGAAAUAAGUCUCCCUCCCCCGGCCUCCUCAGGGUGAGCACGCCCUGCAGCUUCCUGUGACCGUCCCUGUCCUCCUUCGCGGUCUGUGGCUCUGAGGGCCUCAUGGCUCUGAGGGCGAGGCCGUCUCUGGUUUCAGGCUGGGCCUGCCCGGGCCCCCGGGGAGGGACACAGAGCUCCGGGCUGGGGACGGGGUGGGGAGAGGUGUCAGAGGCACGGAAAGUUCCGUCCAGGCGCUGUGGCUUUGCUCGGCGUGCGUCUAAACCAAAGCAUCCUGCCGCUGUGGUGGAGUUCCGUCUUGAAUUCCCAUUUUUAUCUAAAUGAGAAAGUUAUCUGCCUUCUAUUCGGGUGACGUCAUUUCUUACAACAAUCCUGGGCUGAUCAUGCUAGGACACCGUGAAUCCUUUGCAACAUUAACAACCAAUGCCCCGGCCCAGUUCUCUCUAACCACUAGGCUCUCCCCGGCCCAGGAGGAGGAGGGCUCCUUGCUGGUGGCCUCACCACCUACGUGGACCUAUUUUGGGUGGAAAUAGCAGCAGCCGUGGCAUUGGCUGCUGGGGUGGAUCUGUUUCCAAAUCUCAAAGUGGAGUCAGAUUCCCUAGGACUGUCCAGAGCGACAUUGUCAACCUGUUUCAUCCCAGGGCACACACAAGCUCUUACGAAAAUUCGGCGGCUCACCAAACGUACAUGUUUUUGCUGAUCUAACAAAAAAAACUAUAAUUCUUAUCUAUUCACUGUUGAUCUAGUGGCUGCUGACAUUUGUUCUUUGACAACCGAGGGGAAGAGAGGCCAGUGCCCGUGAGUAAACAGUCAGGUGCUGCGUGUUUUAGCUGUCCUUGCAGCACCAGGUUGAAAGUCGCCGGCCGAGGGCGUGCCGUCGGUGCCCAGGGCCUGCGUGUAAGCUGCGUGGGGAGGCUGAGCUGCCCGGGGGUGAGGAGGAAGUGGGGCGAGGGGGAUUGGGCCCGGAGGCCAGGUCAUAGAUUACGGUGCUGGUUCUGCACUUGGCCGUGACUUUGUGGCCUGCAGCGAUUCUACUUCCCCUCUCAGCCUCCGUGUCCAUUUAUAAUAUGGAGAAAAUCAGCGCCUUCACGGCAAGCGCAUGAGACAGCAGCAGGAGAAAGCGCUCACACGCGGUAGCAAGGCAUUACCGCGUCUGCACGGUGCCCUGUUUGAGAUGGCUACAAAGAAGGAGCAAAGAAAAAACGGAAGAUGAAAACCAUGAAUUUAAAGUUGAAUUUAAAGUUGAAUGUACCUACCUAUAUAGUUUAAGUUUAAAAAAUCUGGCUCUCAAAAGAAAUUUCCAUCGUUGUCCUGUUGAUAUUUGGCUCUGUUGACUAAUGAGUUUGCCGACCACUGUCCUCGGCCUUCCUUGCCUGCUGUCCCAGGUAGAUCUUUGCUGCCCUCGUGGGCCCCGACCCUUUGGCUCCGUCCUGUGUAGCCCUUCCCUUUGGAUAUCCCGCCCCCACCUCUUUUCCUUAAAUAAACUCAGUUUUCUGUCAUCACCGCCUGAGAUGGCUGUUUACCUGCCCGCGCCAGCACCACCGACUUCCACCUUCCACAGACGUCAUUGCAUAAGAACCCUCGGUCCUGGACUCCACUCCGGACAGCCCUGUUCCCCUGGACCCAGUUGCUUAACCUCUUUCAGCUUCUGUUUCAUCAUCAACAAACACAAAUGACGAUAAAGUCCCCGCGGACCUCCGGCGGCUGUUGUGACAACGGGGGCCCCCGACACCUACGUGUUCCGUGGGGUCCCUGCCAAGUGAACAUGAGGGGCUUCUUGUUGAAAAAGUACUAAGAAGGUCACCAUGGCAACAGCAGAGCCUCAGACACGUAAUCCUCAGCUCUCAACUCACCUGAGCUCCAAGUCCUGCCACGGCAGGCAGCCGGGGAGGAUGGACAGAGACCGGCUCUAUUAUGAACCCCUCAACUAUGUCAAAGGGCCGCGGAGAGCCGCGGGGAGCAUCCGGCAUGGUGCCGGGCGUCGGCUGGACACAAAAGGGCCUGCGCUCGAGCUGGUGUGGAAGGCGGCCGUGUGCUCAGAGGCCAGGCUGCAGCCUGACCCUCCCCGUCCACCGGGCGGAGCAGACCCGAGGAACGACGGGAGAUGCAGCUUCAGCGGAGCCUUUAUGAUAGAGUCACACCUACACGGCGGGCACCUGUCGGUAGACGCGUCACACCUCUCCUGUGCACAGAUACUACAGGACUGUAGCUGUUCUUGGCCAACCUGACAUCAACACACAUCUCUGAGCCUGACCCUCCACGGAAUACCACAGAAACACUGCAACGUCUGGUAGUACCAGGGUUUUUAAGAAUGGCACAUUUCAUCUUAGGAAAUUCAUUCUGGAAACCUUUCCUUUGAUUCCGUCUCUUGUCCAUUUCCCAUGAAAAGGCCUUUGAUCAUGUCCUCAAUUUGCAGCAGUAUUUUAACCUCAAAGACGAGCUUAACCCGUGCAAGGAGAUGCGUGGUGAGAACCUGAAGUGAUGUAACAGUUUGGUUCUUCUGGAAGGCAUGCUGUCUCGUCAGGCCACUGAUCACAGAGAAACCCGGCAUUUCUGAGCAGCAGGAGCGUUCUCAGGACCAGGGCCCACCUUCCUAAGCUGGUGGCAGGA
Long non-coding RNA from Myotis myotis, 2795 nucleotides. RefSeq lists it as uncharacterized. NCBI's taxonomy places the organism in Eukaryota, Metazoa, Chordata, Mammalia, Chiroptera, Vespertilionidae. The transcript has 3 exons. The record is from RefSeq and is a predicted model, not a curated record.